RNAcentral lists this long non-coding RNA (9518 nucleotides) under Phoenix dactylifera (date palm). RNAcentral describes it as "long non-coding RNA (PDAC_LNC002033)". The record is from RNAcentral. Lineage: Eukaryota; Viridiplantae; Streptophyta; Magnoliopsida; Arecales; Arecaceae.
GUGGGAGUCACGGGCGCUGCGCUUGGGGUCGGUGGCGGAGAAGACGGUGUAGACGAGGACGAAGGUGCCGAUGAUCUCGGCGGCGAGUCCCGUCCCCUUGGAGUAGCCGGAGCUGAGCUCGUUGGCGCCGCCGCCGUAGCGCACGUAGUAGGCCUUCUGGAAGCCCCUGACAAGCCCCGCGCCGCAGAUGGCUCCCAGGCACUGCGCGAUCAUGUAGAGAAGGGCUCGGAUCAGGGAGACCUUGCGAGCCAGGAACAGCCCGAACGUCACCGCCGGGUUUAUGUGACCGCCUGCAUGCACGCACACAAGAACGCACCCCACCGUUAUAAGCAACAGGAUGCAACCAUAUGCGAGGAUUAUGGGCUACAUAUAUAUAUAUGUAAGAUUAAGCGCGAACGGAGAAAAGAUCUUAUUUUCUUCCAUUAAUUCCGUUUCAUUUGUAAACUAAAGAAUGCUUAAAAAAGUUUCGAAGAAGAGAUAUUAAUUGCGCCUGCGAGGGUGGGAGGGACACCCACCGGAGAUGCCGGCGGUGCAGUAGACGAGGAUGAAGAUCAUCCCGCCGAAAGCCCAGGCUAUGCCCAGGAUCCCGACGCCGCUGCAGGCGGCGUCGGUGCCGUUCACGUUGGGGUCGGACUGGUGCUUGUACCCGAUCACCGUCGCCACGGUGAUGUAGAGGAACAGCAGCGUCGCGAUGAACUCAGCGAUCACCGCCCGGUACAGCGACCACGUGGUCAGCUCCUCCACGUCGAUCAGCGGCGCCGGCGGCGGGUCCAUGUAGUCCUUCGCGGUGAACUCACCCGCCUCCGCCGCGGCCUCCACGUCCUUCCCCAUCGACCGCUGAUUAAAAUUCAGCUCCUCUCAGUACUUUAGAGAAGAAAAUAAAUUAAGCCCCAAGAGAGAGAGAGAGAGAGAGAGAGAGAGCGUGCUGGUGGUCUUAGAGAGAAAUCGGGCCUCGGUGUGGAGUGAGGAGAGGCUGAGGGUGGUCUUUUUAUAUCACCACGGCGGUGAGCGGAGACAAAGGGGAGUGCGGAAGUGCGGUUUUUAUUUGAUUUAUUUUAUCUUUCUUUUGCUUGUUUUUAAAGUUUCAAAUUGCCGCCCUAAACCGAACGCUGCCUCAGCAUGAGAUCAGCUCCCACUCCGCAGCCCCACCACGCGCUGCUUCGCUGUCUGUCCCCGCAUGGAGGCUACACUCCGGUGAUCCAUGAAUUGACGGUGGUGAUCGUCCACUGGGUUCCAUUGGGUCCUUUCAUGAGUUUAGCGGGCGAUUCGAUUACUAUUCUCUGGGUGGUAACACCAGCGGCGGUGAUGCACGCGGGGCUGAUGCAAUCAAUGGCAUUGAUGCAUUGGAAUUUGAAUGCAGAGUGGAGGACAACGUAGUUCGUAUGAUUAAUUUGAUAAACUGAUGGACCCGUGGGAUUGAUUCCCUGCCCAGAUCUUAGCUAUUAUCUUGGUCAUUAUUUGUUGUUAGAGCUGAUCAUAGGCUGGAUUUAGAACUAAAUUCUAUUCAUUUCUAGUCGGACAUCGGGUCGGCUUAUGUAAAAUUUGAUAUUUUUUGUGUCCGAACUCGAUCCAUGAUCAACUUUAUUAGUUAUCUAUUUAAAUUAUGAGAGCAGUUGGGUCCCUGAUGCUACGACAAAGCGCUCAUCGGUGCCCUAACCCUAAUCUACAAGCCACAAAUAAGUAUUAUAUGCUAUGCUUUGGAUCAAACCUUAUAACCUUAUCAGCUACAUGAAAGAAGCCAAAAGGAGCGUGACUGUACAGCUGAUGCCAUAAAUAGGUCACGUUCAGACUUCAGCAUCCCUCUUAACAAGUUCGCUGGGUAUACAGGCCACAAGGGAAUGCCAAAAGUAACUUAAAUAUUUAAGAGGCAUGUGGAAUAGAAUGGUGCCAAGUCAGAACGAGUAAUGGGUACCAACACAAAUUUUGCGUGUGGCCUCACUGUUAUCAUGAGCAGCCAGCCCUUUUCUUUUUCUUUCGUUUUUUUUGAUGUAAAGGGAUGCAGAAAAAAUGCCACCUGACCUUCGUUUCAGAUCAACGAGGAAAAAUUACAACCGGGGGUUCCAUGAUUCAAUCCACGGUGACCGAGGACACAACAGGAAUGAUGACUGUGACCAUAGAAUAUGUUAUACGGCGCUCUCAAAGGGAGGUAUACGAUCAGCGGUACAAUUGAGCUGCUACAGGGAACAAAGACUCAGGAUUCGAACAGCAAAAUGAAGAGGUCUGAAGGGAGUCGAGGAGCUGAGUUUAGACAUCAAGAUGGAAAAGUUGCUUCUUGUGGUGCUAAAUUUUAGAUGCUGAAUGGAAUAGCAGAACUUCAGAACAGAAAGGAUGAGAUGGCCAAAGUAUCAGGGAUCCAUCUGAAAGAUACCAAGAAACUGUACUUCAGUAGCCGAACAACAAGUAAACUAAGCAUCCAAGGCUGGCUCUUCUAGUUAAUGGUCUCGCUGUCACAGCUGCCUUUAUACGUGGUUGGGCAAUAUCUUUUUUUCCAGAGUAUCCUUAAGUUUUGAUUCAAGCAAUGGAAAGCUUGGACGCAAUCUGUAAAUUUUUCAUGCAAAGGCAUGCAGAAACUAUGCAUCUUACAAGAUUGAGGGGACGGUCUUCACUUUGUUCCAGACUUUUUUUCAAUUUCCGGAAGAAGCUUGUGAUCACACAAGAUGGUCCAAUUAAUCAUUGAAAGGGUCGAGCCCUCUCGGUACUAUAGAAGCAUGCUUGCUGAAGUCAUGCACUUUCUUGCUCGAUAAGGUAUCUUUGGGUUUGUCAUUUCAUCGUACGUUCCAUAUAUAUUGGUUCAUGAUGCUUCACAACAACAAAUAUUAAUUACUUACAAUUAUUGUCACAGCAGUAGGAACGCUAUAUAUAAAUGAUGAUUUUGCCGGCAGUAAUGCGAAUUUCAAAGUUUUGUUAUUAUUUUUUUAUUACUUUGCACGUAGUAGCCGUUGCCUUGGAAGAUUAUUAUUUUUAUUAUUAGUAUUAUUAUUAUUAUUAGUAUUAUUAUUAUUAUUAUUAUUAUUAUUUGUGAUAAAGACAACAUUCAUAUACCUCUUACAUGAAUAAAGCCAGCCAGAUCCGAAAUAAUAAAUAAUACAAGGAAGAAGGAAUCUCAGUGGCACUCGUCCACGAGAACUCUUCCAUGUGCCGAGCAAUGUAGGAGGCGACCCAGUCCGCAGCUCUGUUCGUCUUUCGAUACACGUGCGUAGUCUGGAAAGAAGCCAAACCCCUAAUCAGUCUGCGAGUCUCACUGAUCUGUGGGUGACCGUCUCCGUAUCGAUCAACUCCCCAUAUCCAAGCGAUCACCGUCGAGGAGUCCCCCUCCAGAUAUAUCUUGUCUGCAUCAAGUACCCUUCUCGCAUAGGAAAUGUCCUCCCAGACUGUCUGUCCGCCUCAAUAAUAGUCGAACCGGGGGUGCGCCGACCUCGGGCCACUACCAGUGUGCCCUGGUGGUCUUGGAUCACAAAUCCUACUUUUCCAUAUGCUCCAUCUGUCGACAUGUCGUCAUCAAAGUUAACUUUGAGAUAACCAAGAGGUGGGGGCACCCAAGAAAAUGAGGCAAACCUGGGUACUAAAAUAGCGGAACGGGUGUCCCAGAUGUUCCUUACUAUCCCAAAAGAACUCAACGCAGCUGCCACAGUGAUCUCAGUAGCAUGGCGAAAGUCUCUGUCCACCACUGUCCUCGAAAAGGCGGGUAUUUCUAUCCAACCAAAUGUGAUAAGCUAGGUAUGCCCCCUAUACUAUCCUCAAUUAUACCCGGUCUCCUCAUGGUCUCCCUCAAAUAGUGUAGUAGGUCCUUAGCUGACUCCAGUGUGAGGAAAGGGGCCAAAAGCAAGGUCCCAAAUCUGUCCUGCCCUGGGGCAACUAAGUAUGGCAUGGGUAAUGGUCUCCUCAUAGUCCGGGCAAGUCACACAAAACGAAGAGAUCCGAACACCCCGCCCUGCUAACAUCUUUCUGGUCGGUAGGUAGCCCCAAGCCACCUUCCAUAUGAACAGGGCCAUCCGAGGGUGGAUCUGCAUCCUCCAAAUCCAACUUCCAUCAAUCUGCCAGGCUGGCUCCCUCCUGAACCACGCAUGAAAAUCCUUAGCAAUGAUUUUGUCCAAUAAUUAUCAGCAGUGUUUAGAAAUCAAAGCACAAGUUGUGUUUUUUUUUUUACUGAAACGGAUGUAUUAUACAUGUUGGAUACAAAUACAUCCAAAAAAAAAUUAAAAGAUAAUAAGUCCGGGAGAGCACCGGAUAAUUUCCUCUCCCCAGCUUAAGGAUCUCUCCAAAAUGAUUAGCCACAAAAAAAAGUUAUUCAAUCUACUGUUUCAUUGACGUCAUGGUAUGUAUGCUUUGUCUGAAAAAUUAUUUUUUAUUUUUAUUUUUUUUGCUAAAGAAAAUGUAUCACGGUGAGUGCAAAUAUAUUUAAAAAAAGCUAAAAUAAUAAUGCACCGGCUAAUAUUCUCUCCUCCAGCUUGGCUGGUUCUCCCGAUGAUGGUUGGCCUACUUCUACCACUCGAUGGCUUCAAAAUGUGGCAGCUUGAACACAGCUAGAAGCUGCCACGUGGAUGAACAUAGGCCACAAGAAUUAAAUAUAUACAAGAGGGAGAGGCAAGAACGGAAGGCCCUGGAAUGCGCGGGGCCCACCGGAGGGGUUUGCAUUAGGUCCGAAAUUGAAAAAUUGAUGUCAAAAAUCCAAAAAGAAAAGGAUAAAUCUUACAAACAUGAACAUGUGCACAACUGGCUGCAAAAUAUCAUUCUUUACUAGGGAGUGGAAACUUGUUCCUGGUUGCUUAUUCAUUGCAAGGAUUUCAGCUAUUGCUGGACUAAGGAAAUAUUCUUCAAUAGUAAGGAAAAUUUUUAAGAAAUCUUAAAUUAAAAACAUGCCAAUUAUAAAAUACGGACUCCAACUUAGCCAUUUCUCCUUAUAUAAUAUAUAUAUAUAUAUAUAUAUAUAUAUAUAUAUAUAUAUAUAUAUAUAUAUAUAUAUAUAUAUAUAUAUAUAUAUAUAUAUAUAUAUAUAGUUACGAGAUUUCAGCAAGUUAGUUCAAAUGUCUCACUCGAAAGAAGUGCCUGUACCAUCAAGAUGGUAGCACAGUUGGAGUGAAAUUUUGUUUUCACCGAAGUCGCCUAGAUUCGAACGUACGGACAUUGAUUUAAUGUAGAGACCGGAUGCCUCUCGUUUGAUUUAUCUGGUGGAGCCGCUAUAUGGUCUGCCGGUUGCUUAGGUGGUACUGGUGUGACCGUACUCACACGUCGGACUUUUCACGGAUGAGGAAGGUAUGAGUAAAACUUGUCUGUCUGUAUCGAACAUUCUUCAGUAGGAAGGGGACUCAGUAGAAGUUGCUACGCGGGUAAGGUUCUCCUCACCCCCUCUUCACUUUUUUUUUAGCAACAAAAAAAAAAAAGUGCCUAUGAGCUAAGCUGCUGGUAGUUUGCUAAGUUAGUUGUAACUGCAUAAUCAUGAUAUUAUCCUAUGUUUUUAAAAUUUUUACAGUAAAGGUCAUGCGUUUGAUGCAAGACCGAUCCACUGUACAUGCCAUGCCCCGUAAAGUCACCAACCCUUGAUUGGUUAGAACCUCUCAAAUAGAUCAUGAGGGAUAAUGGGAGAUAAAAUGGAUCGUCCUACCCGAUAUGGAACCACCCAACCCCGUCGAGCGAGCCGACCAUGGCUAGAGAGCGGGCCGACCUCGGACUCUCCGAAGGCUGGGCCGACCUCGAUCAAAAGCCAGGCCGACCUCGGUCCGCCGGAGGCCCGAGCCGACCUCCACUAGAGGCCCAAGCCAACCUCGCGAAGCAUAUGUCGCAGGUAUCAUCUGCAGCAGCCUCACUGCACCAUACUUUUCUUAUUGGCCACGCUAUGAUGCAUCAACUAGGACUAUACCCUGCUACAUCUGUUGGGGGCCAUAUCCUUCCUGCCAGGGAUAUACCUCCACUACUGGGGCACUCUGGUAAGAAAAAUAAAAGAGGCCAUGAAAAUAUACUCUAGAGGAUUUUGGACUCUCUAUACUCCUCCCCGUAGAGGAAACAAGGGACUUUGGCUCUCAAAAUAGGACCCUCCAUAAACUCUGCUAACUUAGCCAACAGAGGGCCUUCGCCGGAGAUUCCGGCGAAGGCUUUGUGCAGGUAUCCCGGAUGGCAGGGAGGUGGCACCCUUUCUCCUCCAGUCCGGCAUCCUCUCGGAGGCACCCUAAAGCAUUGGAGGUAGCCUUCUUUUCGACUCCCUUCCGGCGUGGUCGCCCCCAGGCCGAAUUUUAACGAAAACAAGGGAUACAUUAAUGGACUCUUCAAUUAUAUCAGGUACCGGAAAGGAUGCAGAUUGGAUGAUCAGCUAAUGAGCAAACUACUGAACCGUGCACUGGCCGCAUUUUAUUUUUCUUGGCCGAAAGAGGACAUUGCUGAGCGAUUUAAAAAUAUUUCAUAAAAACUAAAUUCUGUCAAGGUCCUAAUCGAGAAGUGCCGCAUCAGCCUGCAUCAUGGAAUCCAUGAGUUUUUAAAAUCGUUCCUGCCAUUAUUCGUCCAGUCAUUGAUGUAAACAGGUUAGCUUGCCAUACCGAUGACAUAACAACAAAACCUAGCUAAGCUGGCCCUUUUUCCGGUAGCAAAGAAGUAUUAUUUACAUAGAAAGCAGGCCCUAUGUGUUCCUACACCUUGAGGAUAAGAUAGAGGUUUUCUCGAGCAAUGGAAGCUGCCGUAGGAACAGCCUGGCAUCUAGUAUUCUAAUUCAGAAUCUGCAUUGUCGGGAUCUUUUUCCUGACAAAAAAUUUAUCUAUGGAUCUUUUCCAUGAUAAACAGGUAAGUAAGAGUAUAAACAGAUAAGCAAGAUUAGUGAAGAGAGCGAUUUCAGUUCUCAUCACAGACCUUUAUCUUAAAACAGAGCGCAAGUAAAAAAAUAAACUCCGCCGCCGAUAUGUUAGCGGGUAUCAGGUCGGAUUCUAAAUAGAUCAGGUCCAGACCUGACGUCCCCCAUUAAUGAUGCCCCUGUGAGAUUUGCAUGGCCACAAGCUUCUCAGAACCAACUCAACCAAAAGCACAUAAUUUUCAGAAUCUACAAAACGGUUUGCCAAAGAUACAUGCAUGGAAGGGUGCUCUCAAAUAACAAGGAAGCCCGUAAUUUAUUACAUUUUAUGAAGACCAGGAGCACAUACAUAGAUACUUAACAAACGCUGGGGCAAUGGUAAAAAUAUGCCUACUUGUUGAUUUGCAUUAUUGACAAGCGAAAGACUGAAAUGGUGCCGACCCAUCAAAAUUCUGCUCUUCUUUUUUCCUUCAAUGACCACCAAAGCUGGAGAAGAACAGAAUUCAGGAUGAAGCGUUGCUUCUAAAAGACCCGAGAGCCUUGACAGCGCCAGCUCUAAGGACAAACUGAUGAUAAGCUGUGGCUAUGGCGGCACCAAUGAAAGGACCCACCCAGAAGAUCCACUGCAAUGCGCGCACACGAAAAAAAAAAGUCUGAUAAGUUUCAGCUGCUUCUCCGAGCAGUUGGCUGCUAAUUGUACUGGAAAUAAACGACCAGGCCAAGUAAAUUGAUUGGCUUGUCGAUUGAAUGAUGGCACUACUCUUUAUGUACAUUUGGCAACCUCCAAUUGUCUGUUCAUCUAUAGGGUUCGGAUAUUGCUUUCAACGACUGCAAUUCGUCAGCUAGAAAGCAUCGUUUGAUUUCUAGAGAAAAGGUGUGGAAUGGCAAAUGAAAUAGAAAUGAAGCUCAGAAUGGCUGCCUAAAGGUAGGAAAAGAUGAUACAUUAAAGAUUAUGCAGGCAAUGCCCUCGUAGCAAAUGUACCUGGUCAUCCCAUGCCUUCUCCUUAUCAUAGAUUACGGCAGCUCCGAAACUCCUUGCAGGGUUAAUGCCGGUCCCCGUGAUCGGGAUUGUGGCUAGAUGGACCAUGAACACCGCAAAACCUAUUGGAAGUGGAGCCAAAACCUGGAUAGAUAUUGGAAACCAACAGAGAUUAAAAAAGACACCCAAAAAUAUUGUUGUCGUAUAAGCCAAGAACAAUUCAUAUAUAACAAUUUAAUUUGUCAAAGUGAAGGAUCGUUGUAAAGAUAACUGCAGCAGCAUUCAACUGAAAAUUAACCUUCUACCAAUAUGACCGGCGAAUCUUCUAAAAUACUUCAUGUUCGGGGCAGCACAGGCUCUGCCAUCACCACCUCAUUCGUGUUGCGACAGACGAUCGAGCGAAUGAAAAACUGUUGAAAUAAUUCUCCGUGAUUAAUUUCUCUCGCUGCAUCCAUUCUUUGGCUAGUUAUGUAGCAAGACGUAUUCAAUACAGUGAGGAAAUACCUCACCAAAUACUAACUCCUCGAGGCUUGAACUGAGCAAUUAAAACACGAAGACCAAAUCUAAGCACCCGUCGAGUAUGGGCCGAAUAUAAAUUUUUUAACCUAACUCACGGAUUACAUCCCCCGACAGGACAAAGGCAAAGCUAUAUACCUAUCGCACGAGUCUAGAUAUUUCUAGUUAGACGCAUCCACAUUCAUGGCUGCGCAGCAUCACGAUUGGGGCCCAUCCCUUCAUGAUCUCACUCAUUUAUGAACGACACGGAUUGCUAGCAUGAAAAUUUAUUCUACGAGCAUGAUACCAAUUGAAAAGGUACAACUAGGUUAAGGUUAGGAAUUUUUCGAUCCUUCCCUCAGCGUAUCAAGUUAAGGUCCUACUUGGGGUGGGGGGAAGGGGAUAUGGAUCCUGCGAAAUUGAACCAAAUCUUACUGAACUUGGAGACAGACCCUAGUGUUGUGGGCCUAAAUCUUAGACUUGAAAUUCUGGCCAUGACGCACUCGGGACCAGCUAGACCAGACCCAACUUGGACCCACUUGUUGGCUAAACUGAAAUUACAGUCGAUUGUUUUGGAUGCCUUAACCCGUCUCUCAAAAUAACGGUGAUGGUUUACUUCUUUACAAACAGCACAUGUAUGAACAAACUAGCAUACUACGUCACGUCGUCUUAUUUGUAGUCCGGCAUUUUGAAGAAUUUAUCUGGAUGGCAGUGACAGUUUUACCGUCUUUCUUUUAUCUUUUACUUUUAUUUGACUUGGCAGGAUGUGCUUAUGCUAAAGUUAUAUAAAAUACCAUUUUUACACGAUAUAUAUAUAACAAUGAUGGUAAUUGGCAAGUAAUAAAACAAAAAAAUAAAAUUUUUGCCGCAAAUGGAGGGGUAGAAUUAUAUUACCGGGACGUGGGAGUCACGGGCGCUGCGCUUGGGGUCGGUGGCGGAGAAGACGGUGUAGACGAGGACGAAGGUGCCGAUGAUCUCGGCGGCGAGUCCCGUCCCCUUGGAGUAGCCGGAGCUGAGCUCGUUGGCGCCGCCGCCGUAGCGCACGUAGUAGGCCUUCUGGAAGCCCUUGACGAGCCCCGCGCCGCAGAUGGCUCCCAGGCACUGCGCGAUCAUGUAGAGAAGGGCUCGGAUCAGGGAGACCUUGCGAGCCAGGAACAGCCCGAACGUCACCGCCGGGUUUAUGUGACCGCCUGCAUGCGCGCACACAAGAACGCACCCCACCGUUAUAAGCAACAGGAUGCAACCAUAUGCGAGGAUUAUGGGCUACAUAUA